GGAUGGCGACACUGUCACUCUCAGCUUCACUCCCGGGCCUUAAGCCAGCUGAAUGCAUUGGUUCUCUAUGCCCACCAGCAACAACAACUCAGUAUUCAGUGUUCUUUGCCGGUCUUUACCUUAUCUCCCUUGGUACUGGAGGCAUAAAACCAUGUGUCUCAUCUUUUGGUGCUGAUCAGUUUGAUGACACUGACCCUCAUGAACGACCAAGUAAAACUUCUUUCUUUAACUGGUUUUACUUCUCCAUCAACAUCGGUGCCUUUGUCUCAUCUACUCUUCUAGUGUGGGUUCAAGAGACCUGUGGGUGGGGUCUAGGGUUCUUGAUCCCUACUGUUGUCAUGGGGCUCUCUCUCGUGAGUUUCUUCUGUGGUACUCCGCUUUAUAGGUUUCAGAAACCGGGAGGUAGCCCGGUUACUAGGGUCAGCCAAGUUCUUGUAGCUGCUUACCUUAAAAUGAGUCUCAAGUUUGAUGAAGAAGACCAUACACUUCUGUUUGAAACACAAGACAAGAACUCCGCAAUACCUGGAAGCAGGAAGAUUGAGCACACAGACGGUUACAAGAAAAUAUCGUUUUAUCAUUUUGAAUAGAGAGCUUCAUGUUAUGGAGUGUUUAGGCCUGGGCAAAAAAAUCAGAACCGAAAACCAAAAAUCGGAAUCAGAACUGAACCGGAAUGAAACCUUCAAAUACCCAAAUGAUUUCUAUAUUUUGAUAUUUGAAAUAACUGAACCAGAAUCGAACCGAGAACUGAACGGAUAUCCCAAUAUAUAAAAAUAUCCGAACUAUCCAAAAUUAUCAUUUUUAUCUGAAAUAUUCAAAACAAUCCAAACUUUUUGAGAUUUUAAUCUAAAUCAUCAUAAUUACUCGAUAUUUAUCUGAAAUAUCUGAUAUUUUAUCCAAAUUACCCAAAAUAACUGACCCAAAACCAAAUAGGAACCAAAAUUUUCUGGUAUUAGAUGUUCCUAAUUUUACUAUCCCAAUUGAUCUGAACCCGAAACUACCCGAACAGAUCCAAACCCAAAAAAAAAUUUGGUUCUUAUAUGGAUCUUCUAUCCCCUACCUGAAUUACCUGAUAUCCAAAAUACCCGACACGAACUAACGAAUAUCCGAAAUGCUCAGGCCUAAGAAUGUUCAUGGGGGAAAUAAACUGGUUUCUCAUAUCACAUGCAGGUGUCUUGACAAAGCCGCAGUUAUUACAGAACAUGAUGUCACAAAUGGUGUCUCUCCUAACCCAUGGAAGCUAUGUACUGUGACUCAAGUAGAAGAAGUUAAGAUUCUGUUACGUAUGUUUCCCAUCUGGGUCUCCGGCAUCGUGUUCACAGCGCUCCAGUCUCAGAUAUACACCCUCUUCGUGCAGCAAGGACGGUCCAUGAAACAUACCAUAGGCUCAUUUGAGAUUCCUCCCGCUACACUCGGGAUGUUCGACACUGCAAGUGUGCUCAUAUGUAUCCCAAUCUACGACAAAGUCCUCGUUCCCUUUGUGAGACGGUUCACAGGCAGAGCAAAGGGAUUCACUGAUCUACAACGCAUGGGAGUUGGACUUCUUGUCUCUGUCUUGAGCAUGGCAGCUGCAGCUAUUGUCGAGACAAAGAGGCUACGUGGUCUCGGAGCAAUGAACAUCUUUUGGCAGGUUCCUCAGUACUUUCUUAUGGGCACAGCGGAGGUUUUCUUCUACAUUGGUCAGGUUGAGUUUUACUACGAGCAGUCUCCUGACGCGAUGAGGAGCUUGUGUAGUGCCUUGCCGCUUCUCUCUACUGCCUUUGGGAGCUAUCUGAGCUCGUUGAUCCUCUCGCUUGUGGCGUAUUUCACGACAAUGGAUGGUCAAGAUGGUUGGUGACUUUUACUUAUUUCAAGGUCCGAUGAGACUUAGUCUACCAUUUUUGACAUUUUCUUUUUAUUCACGGAAGCACGUGUUUCUCUGAUCGUGAAGACAUAGCCUACCAUAACGAUCAGUCGGGGAAGGCAGCGCCUAUCAUCCCAAGAAAUAAACGGAGAAGGUCCAGCCUCUCACUCCGAAAUAAUAAUAAAAUUUAAAUAAAUUAAGUAUAUUGAAAUACAUAAAUUUAAACAUUACCUCGGCUGGUUUAAGAAUUUUCGGAUUGAUAAGCCUCAGUUGGUCAGAGCUUCGUGCUGAUAAUGUGUUGUAAAUAAAAGGUGAGGUUGAAGAUUUGUGUUUAUUUAUUUUAUAUGUAUAUUCUGAUCGAUGGGAAAAACGAGAAAUGAGAUGUUGACUUUAAUAUAUAUAUGUAGUACGUGAGAGAGAGAGAGUCAAAGAUGAAUCUUUUUAUUUUCUUCUUAAGUUACAAAAUGAGGAAAUGGGACCAUCACUAUUUAUAGUGGUGUGGAAGUCGGUUGAUCAAAUCAACUAAAAGAAAAAGACAAAACCAAAAAGAUGAUGAUGCACAAAUGAACCAAGAAGAGGACAAGUGUAAUGUAAUGGCAACAUAUGACAUAGACAUCUAGUCCACUAGAUGAAUCAUCAAUUGCAACAUAUUUUUAUUAAUCCACUAGAAGCUCAUGGUUCUAACGAGCUGGGGGGCUAACUAUUGGGGUCAAAAUCGGUCACGACGGAAUCAAUGUCUGAAAGUCCGUAAAAAUCGGCAUGAACGUUUUUAUGAAAAAUAAAUCUUAGAAAAAGAUUUGUUGGGGUCGAAAACGGUUGCAACAAAGUUAACGUCAAAAUCCCCGAAGAAGAAAAACGUAAAAACCUUCUUCGACAAAUACUUUUUCGAAAUAGAUUCUUCUUUACGAAAAACUUUGCGGAAGAAACGCGAGUCAUCGGACAAGAGUUCGAAGAGGGUCGCUACGCAGCAACCAAACACAUGUUCCGCUCGGUCGCUACGUAGCGACCGAGCUCGAACCAAAGUUCGGUCGCUACGUAGCGACCAAGCUCUUCCAAAACGUCGAUACGACAUUAGUCACUAUUUAUAGUGGUGUGGAAGUCGGUUGAUCAAAUCAACUAGAAGAAAAAAACAAAACCAAAAGGACGAUGAUGCACAAAUGAACCAAGAAGAAGACAAGUGUAAUGUAAUGGCAACAUAUGACAUAGACAUCUAGUCCACUAGAUGAAUCAUCAAUUGCAACAUAUUUUUAUUAAUCCACUAUUGUUUUUUUGUCAAGGAUUUUUAAUCCACUAUUGAAAAAUGAAAAUUACUACCUAAUCCAACAUUGUUUUCUUUUCUAGACUAUAUUUUGUUAUUAAUAUUUAUAGAAGUUUUGAAUUUGAAUUUCUAAAUCAACGGUAGAUUAAUCUUUUUUACCCUUAAUUAUGUUAGUCAAACCCAUACGCGAUUUUAUAUCAGAUAAAUCCAUUUGCUAUUUCCUCAUCUGCCCCAGAAAAUAAACACACCCUUUAUUCGAACCAACACAUAUCAUUUUUCAAAAUAUUUAAUCAAAUGAUACUUUUUGUAACAAUAUUUUAUUUUGCAGAAAAAAAUCUGUUGUGUCAUUUUAGAAUACUAAGUUACUAACCGAUCAAAAAUAGCAUUGUUGACAUCUAAUUUACAACAAUAUAUUUAAAGUUCAGCAUCCGUUUUCAUUACAGUUUUACAGGCAUCAUAGAUGCGUUUCACGUAUUAUUUUUUCCUGAAAGAGCACUAUCCUAUUACUCCCUCUGUUUGUUUUUUUAAAUGAUAUUUUAGUUUUAACACAUAAAUUAAAAAAAAGUUAUUUUUACUAAAAGCAUUUGAUUACAACAAAAAAAGAAUAAUAAAAAAUUACUAAUCAUUGCUAUUCUGAACUAAUAAGACAAAAACAAUAACAUAUUAACAUUUAAUAUUUUAAUCAUUUAUUUUAAUAGUUUUACAUAAAAAGUUUUAAAAUAUCAUAUAUAUUUAAACAAAAACAUUUUCUAAAACAUCAUAUAAAAAAAACGGGAAGAGUAUUAUUUUGUUUAAUGUACUAGUCCAAUUUUGUCCAAAAAAAAAUUCUACUACUAGUCCAUUCAAUUGAUUUUUGGGGAUUUUUUCAUGAGUGGCCGUGGUACUUAUACGUAAUAACGAGGUGGUACAAAGGGUAUAACUGUCAGACAAAAAAAAACAGAAAAAGUCGACCCUUCAAGUCAAUUCUAAACGCGACAGUCAGCUGGAACAGGCAAAAGGAGACGGCCAUCGACGAAUACGCGUUAUAUGGAAUUAAGGAGGAUCUUGUUGUAACAAUAAAGAAAAGUUUGGGCCUUUUUGUAAGACUUUGAAAGUCAAGGGGAAACAAUUAGUUUUACCAAAAAAAAUACAUCUCCAAACUUUUCGUAUACAUUUGAACAUUACAGAAAAAGUCGCCGGUCCGGUGGUCCGUCAGGCCAGAGUAAUCUUCUAAUUAGUUUGCUUUGAAGUGAAAACGAUGGGUUCCAUCGAAGAGGAAAGACCCCUCUUCCAACAAGGUUCUGUAUUAUUACAGGUUCGAUCAAGUUGUGUUCUUUGACUUUCAAUUUACUUACCAAUUAUUACAAUUAGAUCAAGGAACUGUGGGUUUUCGUAUCGUAUGGUUUCUAUGUAUCAGUCAACUUUCGCUGAGCUGUAGUUGUGAUGCUUAUGUUAGCUAAGUUGGAUUAGAUUUCAUUGGAUGUGUGUUUGUCUGAACAUGUUUCUUGAUUUUGUUUAAGCAGGAAGUGAAACUGUAUGCUGAAGAUGGUUCAGUGGACAUUCAUGGAAACCCACCAUUAAAGCAGAAGACAGGAAACUGGAAAGCUUGUCCAUUCAUUCUCGGUAAUAAAAACAAAAAACAAAUGUUUCUUGUUUUGUCUUUGUUGUAGCUCUAAUCCUUCAAGACUAAUAAUGUCUGCAACGUUGCAGGCAAUGAAUGCUGCGAACGCUUAGCUUACUACGGUAUUGCCAAGAAUCUAGUCACUUACUUCACGACAAAAUUGCAUGAGACUAAUGUUUCUGCGGCAAGGCAUGUCAUGAUAUGGCAAGGCACUUGUUACAUUACUCCUCUCAUUGGAGCUUUAAUAGCUGAUGCUUACUGGGGAAGAUACUGGACUAUUGCUUGUUUCUCUGCCAUUUAUUUCACCGUAAGCAUUUACAAUUGUAUUGUUAUUCUCCUUUUUGAUAAUGUUCUUUGCUAACCAGAGGUCGUUAACGCAAUUAAAAAAGAUUUUGGCCAUUGUAUCAAAAGUCUUGGGUUCGAGUGACCAAUGGAUAAAACUAAUAUUACAUGCUGUGGUUUCGGGUCUGGGAGAAUUACGGGUUUCGGGUUUCGAUCCUGGACCUCCUCGUAUUCAAAUAAUAAUAAUAAUGUUCUGUGCUUUGAUUUUGUUAAGGGGAUGGCGACACUGUCACUCUCAGCUUCACUCCCGGGCCUUAAGCCAGCUGAAUGCAUUGGUUCUCUAUGCCCACCAGCAACAACAACUCAGUAUUCAGUGUUCUUUGCCGGUCUUUACCUUAUCUCCCUUGGUACUGGAGGCAUAAAACCAUGUGUCUCAUCUUUUGGUGCUGAUCAGUUUGAUGACACUGACCCUCAUGAACGACCAAGUAAAACUUCUUUCUUUAACUGGUUUUACUUCUCCAUCAACAUCGGUGCCUUUGUCUCAUCUACUCUUCUAGUGUGGGUUCAAGAGACCUGUGGGUGGGGUCUAGGGUUCUUGAUCCCUACUGUUGUCAUGGGGCUCUCUCUCGUGAGUUUCUUCUGUGGUACUCCGCUUUAUAGGUUUCAGAAACCGGGAGGUAGCCCGGUUACUAGGGUCAGCCAAGUUCUUGUAGCUGCUUACCUUAAAAUGAGUCUCAAGUUUGAUGAAGAAGACCAUACACUUCUGUUUGAAACACAAGACAAGAACUCCGCAAUACCUGGAAGCAGGAAGAUUGAGCACACAGACGGUUACAAGAAAAUAUCGUUUUAUCAUUUUGAAUAGAGAGCUUCAUGUUAUGGAGUGUUUAGGCCUGGGCAAAAAAAUCAGAACCGAAAACCAAAAAUCGGAAUCAGAACUGAACCGGAAUGAAACCUUCAAAUACCCAAAUGAUUUCUAUAUUUUGAUAUUUGAAAUAACUGAACCAGAAUCGAACCGAGAACUGAACGGAUAUCCCAAUAUAUAAAAAUAUCCGAACUAUCCAAAAUUAUCAUUUUUAUCUGAAAUAUUCAAAACAAUCCAAACUUUUUGAGAUUUUAAUCUAAAUCAUCAUAAUUACUCGAUAUUUAUCUGAAAUAUCUGAUAUUUUAUCCAAAUUACCCAAAAUAACUGACCCAAAACCAAAUAGGAACCAAAAUUUUCUGGUAUUAGAUGUUCCUAAUUUUACUAUCCCAAUUGAUCUGAACCCGAAACUACCCGAACAGAUCCAAACCCAAAAAAAAAUUUGGUUCUUAUAUGGAUCUUCUAUCCCCUACCUGAAUUACCUGAUAUCCAAAAUACCCGACACGAACUAACGAAUAUCCGAAAUGCUCAGGCCUAAGAAUGUUCAUGGGGGAAAUAAACUGGUUUCUCAUAUCACAUGCAGGUGUCUUGACAAAGCCGCAGUUAUUACAGAACAUGAUGUCACAAAUGGUGUCUCUCCUAACCCAUGGAAGCUAUGUACUGUGACUCAAGUAGAAGAAGUUAAGAUUCUGUUACGUAUGUUUCCCAUCUGGGUCUCCGGCAUCGUGUUCACAGCGCUCCAGUCUCAGAUAUACACCCUCUUCGUGCAGCAAGGACGGUCCAUGAAACAUACCAUAGGCUCAUUUGAGAUUCCUCCCGCUACACUCGGGAUGUUCGACACUGCAAGUGUGCUCAUAUGUAUCCCAAUCUACGACAAAGUCCUCGUUCCCUUUGUGAGACGGUUCACAGGCAGAGCAAAGGGAUUCACUGAUCUACAACGCAUGGGAGUUGGACUUCUUGUCUCUGUCUUGAGCAUGGCAGCUGCAGCUAUUGUCGAGACAAAGAGGCUACGUGGUCUCGGAGCAAUGAACAUCUUUUGGCAGGUUCCUCAGUACUUUCUUAUGGGCACAGCGGAGGUUUUCUUCUACAUUGGUCAGGUUGAGUUUUACUACGAGCAGUCUCCUGACGCGAUGAGGAGCUUGUGUAGUGCCUUGCCGCUUCUCUCUACUGCCUUUGGGAGCUAUCUGAGCUCGUUGAUCCUCUCGCUUGUGGCGUAUUUCACGACAAUGGAUGGUCAAGAUGGUUGGAUUCCUUCGGAGGACAUUGAUAAAGGACAUCUUGACUACUUCUUCUGGCUUUUGGUCUGUUUUGGUUGUGCGAAUAUUCCUGUUUUUGUCUUCUUCUCUGUCAAGCACUUGCAGAAAAAGGCUGCUUAAGCUUCAGCUUGGCUCUUGUUUAAUAUUUGUAUACACGGAGAGUCAGAAACAUGUAAAAGUUAUGGGCCACUAUGUAAAACUAUGAAGACUUCAUUUCAUACUUAUUUGUAAAUACGUCAUAGUUCCUGUGCUACAUGUUGGCCGUUGUAAUAUUGAUGAAAAAGAUGGAAAUCAAAGAGUAAUUUGGUGUUGCCAAAUUUUGGCAUUUACUGCUUUUCAUGUUAUUAAAUUUAUAUUUAUUCAGAUAUUUCGUAAUCAUAAUGUUAAAUUUUAACUUAACAUAUUUACUUUCCUUUAAAAUUUUGUUUUUAAUUAUUCAUGGUCAACAUUUUUAAAACGAUGAUUAAUUAUAUUUUAUAAACUAUAAGAAACAUUAUAAAGACAAUUUUUCACCUAAUUAUUUUACCUGUUUUACAAAGAUUUGGGUAUAACGGCAUCAUCAUGAGCUUUCUAAAAAUCUACGGUUGAUAUUACUCCUUGUACUAUAUUAAAAAUUUUCUAAAAAGUUUUCUUUUUUAGUUUAUAUAAUUUACUUUUUGGAACUUAAAACUCAAAUCUUUUCAUAUUUUAACAUUAAUGAAUAUUUAGUUAAAUUACUUGAUUAAAAAACCUUCCACGCAGCAAAUUAUUUAUUUUAAAAAAAUUCAAAUAAUUUUACAUAACAGAAAACAAUUUUUUAUAAUUAUUAUUAAAUACCAAUAAUUAAUAUCAUGCCAAACUGCGAAAAGUGGAAGAAUCAAAGAAUUUUAAAAAUAGUUACUAUUGUGUGUACUACGUAAAAGCCCGGUCCUGGGCUAGAAUCCGUGUUGGGGUCAAAAUCGGUCACGACGGAAUCAAUGUCUGAAAGUCCGUAAAAAUCGGCAUGAACGUUUUUAUGAAAAAUAAAUCUUAGAAAAAGAUUUGUUGGGGUCGAAAACGGUUGCAACAAAGUUAACGUCAAAAUCCCCGAAGAAGAAAAACGUAAAAACCUUCUUCGACAAAUACUUUUUCGAAAUAGAUUCUUCUUUACGAAAAACUUUGCGGAAGAAACGCGAGUCAUCGGACAAGAGUUCGAAGAGGGUCGCUACGCAGCAACCAAACACAUGUUCCGCUCGGUCGCUACGUAGCGACCGAGCUCGAACCAAAGUUCGGUCGCUACGUAGCGACCAAGCUCUUCCAAAACGUCGAUACGACAUUAGUCACUAUUUAUAGUGGUGUGGAAGUCGGUUGAUCAAAUCAACUAGAAGAAAAAAACAAAACCAAAAGGACGAUGAUGCACAAAUGAACCAAGAAGAAGACAAGUGUAAUGUAAUGGCAACAUAUGACAUAGACAUCUAGUCCACUAGAUGAAUCAUCAAUUGCAACAUAUUUUUAUUAAUCCACUAUUGUUUUUUUGUCAAGGAUUUUUAAUCCACUAUUGAAAAAUGAAAAUUACUACCUAAUCCAACAUUGUUUUCUUUUCUAGACUAUAUUUUGUUAUUAAUAUUUAUAGAAGUUUUGAAUUUGAAUUUCUAAAUCAACGGUAGAUUAAUCUUUUUUACCCUUAAUUAUGUUAGUCAAACCCAUACGCGAUUUUAUAUCAGAUAAAUCCAUUUGCUAUUUCCUCAUCUGCCCCAGAAAAUAAACACACCCUUUAUUCGAACCAACACAUAUCAUUUUUCAAAAUAUUUAAUCAAAUGAUACUUUUUGUAACAAUAUUUUAUUUUGCAGAAAAAAAUCUGUUGUGUCAUUUUAGAAUACUAAGUUACUAACCGAUCAAAAAUAGCAUUGUUGACAUCUAAUUUACAACAAUAUAUUUAAAGUUCAGCAUCCGUUUUCAUUACAGUUUUACAGGCAUCAUAGAUGCGUUUCACGUAUUAUUUUUUCCUGAAAGAGCACUAUCCUAUUACUCCCUCUGUUUGUUUUUUUAAAUGAUAUUUUAGUUUUAACACAUAAAUUAAAAAAAAGUUAUUUUUACUAAAAGCAUUUGAUUACAACAAAAAAAGAAUAAUAAAAAAUUACUAAUCAUUGCUAUUCUGAACUAAUAAGACAAAAACAAUAACAUAUUAACAUUUAAUAUUUUAAUCAUUUAUUUUAAUAGUUUUACAUAAAAAGUUUUAAAAUAUCAUAUAUAUUUAAACAAAAACAUUUUCUAAAACAUCAUAUAAAAAAAACGGGAAGAGUAUUAUUUUGUUUAAUGUACUAGUCCAAUUUUGUCCAAAAAAAAAUUCUACUACUAGUCCAUUCAAUUGAUUUUUGGGGAUUUUUUCAUGAGUGGCCGUGGUACUUAUACGUAAUAACGAGGUGGUACAAAGGGUAUAACUGUCAGACAAAAAAAAACAGAAAAAGUCGACCCUUCAAGUCAAUUCUAAACGCGACAGUCAGCUGGAACAGGCAAAAGGAGACGGCCAUCGACGAAUACGCGUUAUAUGGAAUUAAGGAGGAUCUUGUUGUAACAAUAAAGAAAAGUUUGGGCCUUUUUGUAAGACUUUGAAAGUCAAGGGGAAACAAUUAGUUUUACCAAAAAAAAUACAUCUCCAAACUUUUCGUAUACAUUUGAACAUUACAGAAAAAGUCGCCGGUCCGGUGGUCCGUCAGGCCAGAGUAAUCUUCUAAUUAGUUUGCUUUGAAGUGAAAACGAUGGGUUCCAUCGAAGAGGAAAGACCCCUCUUCCAACAAGGUUCUGUAUUAUUACAGGUUCGAUCAAGUUGUGUUCUUUGACUUUCAAUUUACUUACCAAUUAUUACAAUUAGAUCAAGGAACUGUGGGUUUUCGUAUCGUAUGGUUUCUAUGUAUCAGUCAACUUUCGCUGAGCUGUAGUUGUGAUGCUUAUGUUAGCUAAGUUGGAUUAGAUUUCAUUGGAUGUGUGUUUGUCUGAACAUGUUUCUUGAUUUUGUUUAAGCAGGAAGUGAAACUGUAUGCUGAAGAUGGUUCAGUGGACAUUCAUGGAAACCCACCAUUAAAGCAGAAGACAGGAAACUGGAAAGCUUGUCCAUUCAUUCUCGGUAAUAAAAACAAAAAACAAAUGUUUCUUGUUUUGUCUUUGUUGUAGCUCUAAUCCUUCAAGACUAAUAAUGUCUGCAACGUUGCAGGCAAUGAAUGCUGCGAACGCUUAGCUUACUACGGUAUUGCCAAGAAUCUAGUCACUUACUUCACGACAAAAUUGCAUGAGACUAAUGUUUCUGCGGCAAGGCAUGUCAUGAUAUGGCAAGGCACUUGUUACAUUACUCCUCUCAUUGGAGCUUUAAUAGCUGAUGCUUACUGGGGAAGAUACUGGACUAUUGCUUGUUUCUCUGCCAUUUAUUUCACCGUAAGCAUUUACAAUUGUAUUGUUAUUCUCCUUUUUGAUAAUGUUCUUUGCUAACCAGAGGUCGUUAACGCAAUUAAAAAAGAUUUUGGCCAUUGUAUCAAAAGUCUUGGGUUCGAGUGACCAAUGGAUAAAACUAAUAUUACAUGCUGUGGUUUCGGGUCUGGGAGAAUUACGGGUUUCGGGUUUCGAUCCUGGACCUCCUCGUAUUCAAAUAAUAAUAAUAAUGUUCUGUGCUUUGAUUUUGUUAAGGGGAUGGCGACACUGUCACUCUCAGCUUCACUCCCGGGCCUUAAGCCAGCUGAAUGCAUUGGUUCUCUAUGCCCACCAGCAACAACAACUCAGUAUUCAGUGUUCUUUGCCGGUCUUUACCUUAUCUCCCUUGGUACUGGAGGCAUAAAACCAUGUGUCUCAUCUUUUGGUGCUGAUCAGUUUGAUGACACUGACCCUCAUGAACGACCAAGUAAAACUUCUUUCUUUAACUGGUUUUACUUCUCCAUCAACAUCGGUGCCUUUGUCUCAUCUACUCUUCUAGUGUGGGUUCAAGAGACCUGUGGGUGGGGUCUAGGGUUCUUGAUCCCUACUGUUGUCAUGGGGCUCUCUCUCGUGAG
RNAcentral lists this long non-coding RNA (11091 nucleotides) under Brassica napus (rape). Its description in RNAcentral is "long non-coding RNA (BNAP_LNC012707)". Lineage: Eukaryota; Viridiplantae; Streptophyta; Magnoliopsida; Brassicales; Brassicaceae. The record is from RNAcentral.